AGGCAGCCCCUUUGUCCAAACUCAACGGCAAUGGUGGUGUUGCGUUUCUCGGAGAAUAAAUCUUCUGAUCUUCAGAUCAGCUGAGAGGGGAGGUCACCUUCUCUCGUUGAGGCUGGUCUAGUAAGUCAUAAGAACAUC
Molecule: small nucleolar RNA, 138 nt
Organism: Setaria italica (foxtail millet)
Lineage: Eukaryota; Viridiplantae; Streptophyta; Magnoliopsida; Poales; Poaceae
Rfam family: Small nucleolar RNA snoR77
Source: Rfam